GACUCUCAGCUCUAUUUACUUCAUAUUACAACUUUAACCUCCAAUAUCAAGAAGAAGCCGCAUGCACCCUUGAGUUUGUGCAAAGGCGCUUCAUUGACAUCAACCCAGAACGGGGAUCCAAAGCCAAGCAGGGAAAAGUGGUAUCCAAAAAAACUGGCAAAGUUGUCCAAAAAAAGAACAAUGCUGUGAAUCCUCAUGUUUCCUCACUGCUUCGAAAGUUGAUGGACUUUGAAUGGGAUUUUGUGUAAGGCAUAUAAAGGACACAAUUUUCUUUUUCCAGUUCAAGCUUAAAAGUGGUGCUGUCCUUUGUUUUGUUGUAUCAUUUUGUUUAAGUUCUGAAUCACUAUACCAUGCUAAGUGAAAGAAAAAUAGAUUGAAGGAUAGCUAAACAUAGCUGUAUUGUGCUUAGUGAAAGAAAAAUUAUGUUAAAGAUAUCUAAACAUAGUUUAAAGAUGGUAAAAUGUAAACUAUUUUAAACAGCAUUCUAAAAAAUAAAUGUUUAAUAAGAA
Paramormyrops kingsleyae is the source of this 509-nucleotide non-coding RNA. The record is from RefSeq and is a predicted model, not a curated record. NCBI's taxonomy places the organism in Eukaryota, Metazoa, Chordata, Actinopteri, Osteoglossiformes, Mormyridae.